This 562-nucleotide ribosomal RNA is filed under the name uncultured bacterium. RNAcentral's name for it is "bacterial SSU rRNA". It matches the Rfam family "Bacterial small subunit ribosomal RNA", at positions 301 to 863 of the family's 1533-position model. The record is from RNAcentral.
CGGUCCCCCACAUUGGUACUGAGACACGGACCAGACUCCUACGGGAGGCAGCAGUGAGGAAUAUUGGUCAAUGGGCGCAAGCCUGAACCAGCCAUCCCGCGUGAAGGAAGAAUGCGCUAUGCGUUGUAAACUUCUUUUCCAGGGGAAUAAAAUUUCGUACGAGUACGGGACUGAAGGUACCUUGGGAAUAAGCAUCGGCUAACUCCGUGCCAGCAGCCGCGGUAAUACGGAGGAUGCGAGCGUUAUCCGGAUUUAUUGGGUUUAAAGGGUGCGUAGGCGGAAAAAUAAGUCAGUGGUGAAAACCUUCAGCUUAACUGGAGACUUGCCAUUGAUACUGUUAUUCUUGAGUAUAGUUAAGGUAGGCGGAAUGUGUAAUGUAGCGGUGAAAUGCUUAGAUAUUACACAGAACACCAAUUGCGAAGGCAGCUUACUGAGCUAUAACUGACGCUGAUGCACGAAAGCGUGGGGAGCGAACAGGAUUAGAUACCCUGGUAGUCCACGCCGUAAACGAUGAUCACUCGCUGUUGGCGAUACACAGUCAGCGGCUAAGCAAAAGCAUUAA